GUUCUUGGCCAUAGACAUCCCAGUGCUGUGGAGGCAGUGUUUACAGGAAACAUUCCCUCUUUUUUUUUGCAGUUCAGCUGGUCGAAGACAUCUCAUUAUCUGCCUUGCUUGCAUGUCUGCAUUUGCAGGGAAGAAAAAGUCACCGCAAAGCUCCCGACGCGGGAGCAGCGGGAGGCUGCGAUAGCCGCAGCCACGGCUGGGGGCGAGCGGAGCUCUCUGUGCCAUUAUUGUUCUCUGCUCCAAGCUGGAAGCAGCCGAGAAGGACUCACAGCCCGUCCCUCUGCAAUCAUCCCCCGGGACCUGAGCGAACCUUCUGCGCUGCGGGGUGUGCACCAAAGCCAGCAACAGCAAUUUUUUUUUUUGUGGGAAAAUAAAGACAGAAUCCUCCACCUGAAUUUAGAGUCAAUAUCCAGUUCUUUCACAGUGAUUGCUCAGCAGUGAUCGACAUUUCAACUGUGUUUAAAAGGACAAGUAAAGAAAUACAGGAGGGGAGUAUGAGAAUUUCCAGGGCCAGUGCAGGGUGUGCUGAAGGAGAAAACAAUGCAGAGAUUGCCCCCCUGGUCAGAUCCUCAUGGGUACAAUUAAACUUCUUAGAGGGCUCUUAUUAACAGGGUUUGGGACAGUCAGAGGAUGUUCCCCCUGGGAGCAGUGAUCUCUCUCACAGAUUCCUCUCCAAACCUGAGUCAGAGCAGUCUGGUACUUCAGUGUGUAGCAAAUACCACAGGUGACGACUUUGAAAUACUCAUCAGCAAUUUUAGUGGUGAGUACAUAUGGAAGUGAGAUGAAGGAAAAGUCAGAAAACACUUUUAGCUUGCCUAACACUCCCCUUCCUAAUAGAGAUGACAGACUUGAAAAGUUACGCUAUGUAAACUGUCCAUUUCUGAUCAUACCAUAAUGUCCCCAUGGCCCAUGAAAAUGCCCACUUUGAUCAUAGUAUUUAAUUGUUUUAGCUUUUGGUAAAUCAUCUGCUACAGCCUGUUGAACAUUUUAAAGCAUUUCUUGCUAAUGGAUUUUCACAAUGUAGUUCAAGGGAUGUUGUUAUUAAUAAAUGUUACUGCACUGAAUAGUAAUUUGCUAAG
Molecule: long non-coding RNA, 1079 nt
Filed under: Chloebia gouldiae (Gouldian finch)
Lineage: Eukaryota; Metazoa; Chordata; Aves; Passeriformes; Passeridae
Description: Erythrura gouldiae (Gouldian finch) lncRNA (ENSEGOG00005007426.1)
Source: RNAcentral